This 84-nucleotide non-coding RNA is filed under the name unclassified sequences. RNAcentral describes it as "skipping-rope RNA". It matches the Rfam family "skipping-rope RNA". Rfam says of the family: Firmicutes, Fusobacteria, AlphaProteobacteria, Spirochaetes. The record is from Rfam by way of RNAcentral.
GUUAUUUGAAGUGGACAAUAGUGCCAUCCACACACAUUUAAAAGGGUAAAAGAGAUGCAGGACUUGGCACACCUGCCAAAUAUC